AUGGAUUUGUUUCUGGGCCUUACCCAUCCAGAUCCUCUGACGGGCGUCCCCAACAGGUUCGAAGGAAUCAGUACAAAGGAUGCCUGGUACCAGGACUUUCAGCAAUUGGAGCGCUAUGAGGUAUCUUCCAAGACAAGACCCGGAAAAGCCCGAGAGACCCAGAAAGUCACCCAAACCAAAGCCGGGGGAGGGGGGCGGGAGGGGCCAGCGCCUUGGGGCUUCCGGCAGCAAGGGGGCAAGGACUUUAACGUGCCCCUCUCGUUUCACCGCUCACUCCUGGAGGCAAAGCAGCUUAGGCUGGAGUGGCCUUGGGCGACUGGGUGCUGAUCAUCGACAGCGAGAACAGCGGGGCAUCCCAAUCACAUCGGAGCCCAGAACAAGAUCCGGGCUUGUGGGGAGCGCCUCAGCCUGGGUCUUUGCAGGGCCCAGCCGGCUCAGAGCAAACUGCAGAAAGCUCUGGCCCCUGCAGCGGAGCCCGCGGGGUACAUCUUUGCACCGAGCGCCUCCCUCAACAAGAUGGCCUGGCCCUUCUGGGCUCCCCCAUCCGCCGACAACGCCCCGCAGCAGAAUGGACAGCGGCUCCUGCCGCUGGUCCCAGACACCAGCAAGCAGCAGCUGAUAGAGAACACCCAGGACUGGCGACUGUGGCCCGGGACAGGCCUGUCGUGUUCCUUCUGCACCCUUGUUAACCUCACGGGCACCGAGUUCAUGCAAGACCCGGAUGAGGAGCACUUGAAAAAGUCCUGGGAAAAGUAUGUCUUGGAGCUACAGAGCCCAAGCUACACCUGCCUCUGGGACUAGCACUGCCAGUGCUCUGCCCACGUGCUCAACGUGCAGUCGUAG
Molecule: RNA transcript, 843 nt
Organism: Carlito syrichta (Philippine tarsier)
Lineage: Eukaryota; Metazoa; Chordata; Mammalia; Primates; Tarsiidae
Gene name: PDZ and LIM domain protein 7 pseudogene
Exons: 3
Source: RefSeq, a predicted model, not a curated record